RNAcentral lists this ribosomal RNA (465 nucleotides) under uncultured bacterium. RNAcentral's name for it is "bacterial SSU rRNA". It matches the Rfam family "Bacterial small subunit ribosomal RNA", at positions 329 to 792 of the family's 1533-position model. The record is from RNAcentral.
CGCCAGACUCCUACGGGAGGCAGCAGUGAGGAAUAUUGGUCAAUGGCCGGAAGGCUGAACCAGCCAAGUCGCGUGAGGGACGACUGCCCUAUGGGUUGUAAACCUCUUUUAUAAGGGAAGAAUAAAUGCUACGUGUAGCAUGAUGCCUGUACCUUAUGAAUAAGCAUCGGCUAACUCCGUGCCAGCAGCCGCGGUAAUACGGAGGAUGCGAGCGUUAUCCGGAUUUAUUGGGUUUAAAGGGUGCGUAGGCGGAAGUUUAAGUCAGCGGUCAAAUGUCGGUGCUCAACACCGGCCUGCCGUUGAAACUGGUCUUCUUGAGUGAGCGAGAAGUAUGCGGAAUGCGUGGUGUAGCGGUGAAAUGCAUAGAUAUCACGCAGAACUCCGAUUGCGAAGGCAGCAUACCGGCGCUCAACUGACGCUGAGGCACGAAAGCGUGGGGAUCGAACAGGAUUAGAUACCCUCGUA